GUGGGACAGCAUCGGCGUCACAUUCCGGAUCGUGUCCUCUUUAGCAUAGAAUGGAAAGAAGCCACUAUGCCCUCUCCUCAGAACAUUCAAGGUGCCACCUCUUAAGGCUGUGAAACCCUUCAGUCUGGUGGCACGAAGAGACGGCGGCGAUGCUCUUCUGCGGACCAGUCAGCGACUGUCCAGGGGCCACCUGCGGCCUGGUGCCGGUCACAUACCAUCACCCUGAUGCAGGGAGGCCCAUGUCCGGGAAGAGUCUGGGGAUCUUUUCAGAUGACAACUGAUUGCCAGACUGCAGGGAGAAGCCUCUCUUCAUAGCCAAGUGACU
Long non-coding RNA from Gekko japonicus, 325 nucleotides. RefSeq lists it as uncharacterized. NCBI's taxonomy places the organism in Eukaryota, Metazoa, Chordata, Lepidosauria, Squamata, Gekkonidae. The record is from RefSeq and is a predicted model, not a curated record. The transcript has 3 exons.